GGCGACCGGCGCACGGGUGAGUAACACGUAUCCAACCUGCCGAUAACUCGGGGAUAACCCUUCGAAAGAAGGCCUAAUACCCGAUGGCAUAUCCCUUCCGCCUGGUUGGGAUAUUAAAGAACUUCGGUUAUCGAUGGGGAUGCGUUCCAUUAGCUUGUUGGCGGGGUAACGGCCCACCAAGGCUUCGAUGGAUAGGGGUUCUGAGAGGAAGGUCCCCCACAUUGGAACUGAGACACGGUCCAAACUCCUACGGGAGGCAGCAGUGAGGAAUAUUGGUCAAUGGACGAGAGUCUGAACCAGCCAAGUAGCGUGAAGGAUGAAGGUCCUAUGGAUUGUAAACUUCUUUUAUACGGGAAUAAAAGUGCAGUAUGCAUACUGUUUUGUAUGUACCGUAUGAAUAAGGAUCGGCUAACUCCGUGCCAGCAGCCGCGGUAAAUACGGAGGAUCCCGAGCGUUAAUCCGGAUUUAUUGGGUUUAAAGGGAGCGUAGGGCGGAGGCUUAAGUCAGUUGUGAAAAGUUUGCGGCUCAACCGUAAAAAUUGCAGUUGAUACUGGGCCUCUUGAGUACAGUAGAGGCAGGCGGAAUUCGUGGUGUAGCGGUGAAAUGCUUAGAUAUCACGAAGAACUCCGAUUGCGAAGGCAGCCUGCUGGACUGUCACUGACGCUGAUGCUCGAAAGUGUGGGUAUCAAACAGGAUUAGAUACCCUGGUAGUCCACACAGUAAACGAUGAAUACUCGCUGUUGGCGAUACACGGUCAGCGGCCAAGCGAAAGCGUUAAGUAUUCCACCUGGGGAGUACGCCGGCAACGGUGAAACUCAAAGGAAUUGACGGGGGCCCGCACAAGCGGAAGGAACAUGUGGUUUAAUUCGAUGAUACGCGAGGAACCUUACCCGGGCCUUGAAUUGCAUAUGAGUUAUCCGGAGACGGAUAAGCCGCAAGGCAUAUGUGAAGGUGCUGCAUGGUUGUCGUCAGCUCGUGCCGUGAGGUGUCGGCUUAAGUGCCAUAACGAGCGCAACCCUUAUCGAUAGUUACCAUCAGGUUAUGCUGGGGACUCUGUCGAGACUGCCGUCGUAAGAUGCGAGGAAGGUGGGGAUGACGUCAAAUCAGCACGGCCCUUACGUCCGGGGCCACACACGUGUUACAAUGGGGGGUACAGAAGGCCGCUACACAGCGAUGUGAUGCCAAUCCCCAAAACCCCUCUCAGUUCGGAUUGGAGUCUGCAACCCGACUCCAUGAAGCUGGAUUCGCUAGUAAUCGCGCAUCAGCCACGGCGCGGUGAAUACGUUCCCGGGCCUUGUACACACCGCCCGUCAAGCCAUGAAAGCCGGGGGUACCC
Molecule: ribosomal RNA, 1336 nt
Filed under: bacterium NLAE-zl-G449
Lineage: Bacteria
Description: 16S ribosomal RNA
Rfam family: Bacterial small subunit ribosomal RNA
Source: RNAcentral